UGUAAAUGCUCUUGAUGAAUUUUUUUCAUAUUAGGGAAGUUAUUAAUUAUCUCUAAUUUGUUUUAAUUGGAACUCUUACAAUACAAAUAUGUAAGUACAUAUAUGUAAUUGCAGGUACAGAGCUACAGCCAUGCUUAGCAUGCCAUCAACCUCAUUGAAAUUUAUGUUGCAUAAAGGAUAUAAGAAAGUUGUGUUGUUUUCACCUUGCAAUGGCAAAGACAAGAUUUAGCAAAAUAAGUACAGCCUCCAAAGUUUUAUUCAGCAUAAAUAUAAUCAGGAUGAGAUUUUGAUUGGUUUCUCAUGUCAGGUGGUUUCUUUUACCCAAAUUUGUGUUGUGGACUUUUAUUAUUGCCCAUAAUCCAUCCUAUGAUCCUUGCUUGACACUUGAGGUUAGAAGAAAAGGAGAGAGCCCCCCUUUUUAAAAUUUUUUAUUUAUUCCAUAGCUAUUUUCAACCAGACAAGACUUGGUUUUUGGGCAUUAAUUGUAAGGCCAUGAAAGUUCUUAAAUUGAAGGAUUUGCAUUGGCAACUGCUUAUUCUUAACUUAAAUUUGUUAAGAUU
Long non-coding RNA from Quercus robur (English oak), 560 nucleotides. RefSeq lists it as uncharacterized. The transcript has 2 exons. Lineage: Eukaryota; Viridiplantae; Streptophyta; Magnoliopsida; Fagales; Fagaceae. The record is from RefSeq and is a predicted model, not a curated record.